This 396-nucleotide RNase P RNA is filed under the name Prevotella sp. RNAcentral's name for it is "RNase P RNA component class A". It matches the Rfam family "Bacterial RNase P class A". From Rfam's summary of the family: Ribonuclease P (RNase P) is a ubiquitous endoribonuclease, found in archaea, bacteria and eukarya as well as chloroplasts and mitochondria. Its best characterised activity is the generation of mature 5'-ends of tRNAs by cleaving the 5'-leader elements of precursor-tRNAs. Cellular RNase Ps are ribonucleoproteins. Lineage: Bacteria; Pseudomonadati; Bacteroidota; Bacteroidia; Bacteroidales; Prevotellaceae. The record is from RNAcentral.
GCAGUGCCCUGGUUUUAUCGCUGGCUCAUUAUUCUCCGGAACUUGAGCGAGAGGAAAGUCCGGGCAGCAUAGAGCACUCCGCUCCCGAAAAUAGGAGUUAUUGGUGACAGUAAAACAGGGUAGAAGAAAACAACCGCCUCUGCCUUUUAGAUAGAGGUAAGGGUGAGAAGGUGGUGUAAGAGACCACCAGGCUGGUGGUGACAUCAGUGCUGUGCCCAUCGGAGGCUGUAAGUUCAUGUAAACCAUCGUCUGAGGGUUGCUCGCCCGACUCACUCCGAUGGAGGGUAGAACGCUUGAGCCUUAAGGUAACUUAAGGUCUAGAUAAAUGAUAGAACGCUCUGUAUGUCGAGAGCCAUACACGAGACACAGAACCCGGCUUAUAGGGACACUGCUUUC